CAGCUGGGCUGGGCGACCGCGUUUGCCGAAAGGUGACCGAGGAAAGUCCGGGCACCAUGGGAAUAGGGUGGCGGGUAAUCCCCGCCGGGGGCAACCCCAGAGAAAGUGCCACAGAAAAUAAACCGCUCUGCGAGCAGAGUAAGGGUUCAAGGGUGGGGUAAGAGCCCACCGCGCCGGUGGUAACAUGCGGCGGCACGGCAAACCUCACCCGGUGCAAGACCAGAUAGGCAGGCAAUCGGUAUUCCCACCGGCCUGCGGGUAGGUUGCUCGAGCGGCUUGGUAACAAUCCGCCUAGAUGAAUGGCCGCCACUCGCCUUAUGUCUUCGGGCUUCAGCGAGAACAAAACCCGGCUUACAGGCCCAGCUGGAAU
Molecule: RNase P RNA, 370 nt
Filed under: Rhodospirillaceae bacterium
Lineage: Bacteria; Pseudomonadati; Pseudomonadota; Alphaproteobacteria; Rhodospirillales; Rhodospirillaceae
Also listed under: 1 other name
Description: RNase P RNA component class A
Rfam family: Bacterial RNase P class A
About the family: Ribonuclease P (RNase P) is a ubiquitous endoribonuclease, found in archaea, bacteria and eukarya as well as chloroplasts and mitochondria. Its best characterised activity is the generation of mature 5'-ends of tRNAs by cleaving the 5'-leader elements of precursor-tRNAs. Cellular RNase Ps are ribonucleoproteins.
Source: RNAcentral